This 253-nucleotide ribosomal RNA is filed under the name uncultured bacterium. Its description in RNAcentral is "partial 16S ribosomal RNA". It matches the Rfam family "Bacterial small subunit ribosomal RNA", at positions 524 to 776 of the family's 1533-position model. The record is from RNAcentral.
UACGUAGGGUGCAAGCGUUAAUCGGAAUUACUGGGCGUAAAGCGUGCGCAGGCGGCGCGUUAAGACAGGUGUGAAAGCCCCGAGCUUAACUUGGGAAUUGCGCUUGUGACUGGCGUGCUGGAGUGUGGCAGAGGGAGGUGGAAUUCCACGUGUAGCAGUGAAAUGCGUAGAUAUCAGGAGGAACACCUGUGGCGAAAGCGGCGCACUGGACCACAACUGACGCUGAGGCGCGAAAGCUAGGGGAGCAAACAGG